UUAGACUGUUCUACUCUUCCAGGAUUUGAUGUGAGGACAACUGUGGAAAUGACAGUAGAGCAAGAGAGGAGGAAGUAUAUUUAGUAUUUUAAAAUGUCAGAUAUUGGCCUGGGCUCCCUAUACCUUUAAGCAUAUGAAUUCUUAUCACCUGAUGAGAUUUAGAGAAAAAAAAAAUUCUUGGCUAGAAAUUUCCCUCAGACCAAUUAAGAGAUCUCUACACAAGGGACAUGAAAAUAUGAAUGAACCAUGGAAAUUAUCCAAAAGGAUAUGUUGCUGGCAGAGAACCUCUUAGAACUGUGAAUGCAUAUGGGAAACUUUCCCCCUACCUCCGUUGCUUACAAUAUGUGUAUAAUUGCCAUGGAUAUUUUUGGAUAAUUUUUAUUGAAAUAGUUUAAAUGGUUAUAGACUUACAGUUAUUAUGAAGAAGAAAAUGAACUAAGUAUUCUCAAUGAGUUAAAGUGAGGAAAAACUGCAUCAAAUUUAGGUGAUGAUCUACCUUUCAUCCCUGUAAAAUGAAGAAUCAUAAACUAUGCACCUUUUAACUGAAUCUUUUCAUGGAAAAUGAAUAGGGC
Molecule: long non-coding RNA, 572 nt
Filed under: Vulpes vulpes (red fox)
Lineage: Eukaryota; Metazoa; Chordata; Mammalia; Carnivora; Canidae
Description: lncRNA (ENSVVUG00000019100.1)
Source: RNAcentral